This 382-nucleotide long non-coding RNA is filed under the name Rattus norvegicus (Norway rat). Its description in RNAcentral is "long non-coding RNA NONRATT028956". Lineage: Eukaryota; Metazoa; Chordata; Mammalia; Rodentia; Muridae. The record is from RNAcentral.
CAAUGCUGAGAUGUUCUCAGGGGACUUUUCCACACCUGCCCAGUGCUCAGCAAGGUGAUGCUGCUGUGCAGUCGUACACGGGUCCCCAGCUGAGCUCUGGUUCUAUUCCCUUUACAGGUCAUUACUCCCUGCACUUUGACGCCUUCCACCACCCUCUGGGUGAUACCCCCCCGGCCCUUCCCGCCCGGACGCUGCGCAAGGUAAUGUACUGAAGCAACUGUCCCACCGCCUCAUCUGCUGUAGAGUCACCCCUGGGGCCUACAAGAGGAACCUGAACCCUCCUCUGCUCCUCUGCCCUGAGAGCCUGAGCUGGCAGAAGCUGGGGGUGGCCAGAGCCACACUAGAGCUGCGGGUGACCCGUGCAUCCUGCAACAAAUGUGAU